CGUGUAGGCGGUCUCGCAAGUCGGAUGUGAAAGCCCUCGGCUUAACCGAGGAAGUGCGUUCGAAACUACGAGACUUGAGUGCCGGAGAGGGUGGCGGAAUUCCCGGUGUAGAGGUGAAAUUCGUAGAUAUCGGGAGGAACACCAGUGGCGAAGGCGGCCACCUGGACGGUCACUGACGCUGAGACGCGAAAGCGUGGGGAGCAAACA
RNAcentral lists this ribosomal RNA (207 nucleotides) under uncultured delta proteobacterium. Its description in RNAcentral is "partial 16S ribosomal RNA". It matches the Rfam family "Bacterial small subunit ribosomal RNA", at positions 568 to 774 of the family's 1533-position model. The record is from RNAcentral. Lineage: Bacteria; Deltaproteobacteria.